Neopsephotus bourkii (Bourke's parrot) is the source of this 5097-nucleotide long non-coding RNA. RefSeq lists it as uncharacterized. The transcript has 3 exons. Lineage: Eukaryota; Metazoa; Chordata; Aves; Psittaciformes; Psittacidae. The record is from RefSeq and is a predicted model, not a curated record.
GUUUCCACUAUGAGCGUCUCCCAUACAAUGCCGUAACGCCAUCUACUUUUAUAUGCAAUAGCAGUAAUGGUUUUGUCUUGCUGGAAACAUAAAAAAAAAUAUGCUUUAACCCAUCUGCAAAGCAACUGCUUCAAAUUAAAUUUCGUAAUAAAACCAAAUUAAACAUAAUUGAGAAACUUGCCCUGAGAACAGAACAAUAAGAAAUUUGCUGUGACAAUGGUGCAAUAUAUAUUGUUCCUCUACGGUGCUCCAAAUGUCCCUGCUGUCAGGCUGUGCUGUCAUUAGGGCAGUUUGCUGCUGUUAUUGUGAAUCUUAAAACAUGCCUUUCCCCUUCUGUAUGAGACCACUCCUCUAAGGUCUUAUGCAUGCUGAUGAAAGAAUUAGGCUCAGCUAUCAGGAAUUAAGCAAAAAAUGUGCUGACACAUGUUCCUAGAGAUACUGCUGAAAGGAGAUAGCUUUUUACAGAGAUGCUCCGAUGCUUGCUGCAGGUAUGAAUAUUGCAGAGCGUGCAGCCUGUCUCUAGUGGGUUGCUUGACCAUGAAAUUGCCCAUGAAAUGGGAAUCUAUUGUUUAUUGUGCUAAUUAGUAACUCAGAGAGUUUAUUUAAAGGUCACUAGGAUGCAAUAAGAAAUAACGUAGUGUGUUAAUGGAAGAAAAUUCAAGAAGCCGUAGGGGUUUGGAUUAUUUAGUAGAAUCUUAUUCCUAAUAUUUAAGAUACUUUGAAAUGUGCAUUAAAUUAAUAAGGGAGAUGAAGGAAUGUUUUAAUAUAACUUAGUGUGAAAAUAGACUUCAGAAUUUAUUUUAUUCAUAGUUUUUUGCAUCAAAGGUUCUAUAAUGAUUAAUUUUCAAACUUACAGGUUUUAAUAGCAAAAUAAGAAAUAAUAGCUCCAAAGUUCCUUUGAAAUACUUAAUAAAAUGCUGUUCUUUAAAGCAGUAGAUGGCUUUCAAAUACCACUACUAUUUCAAAGAACUGUAUUCUUUACAAUAUUCCUAUUCAGUUUUCUGUACUGUGCAAAGAUGACUCACUUGAUGUAGCACAGAAAUAUUUUCAGAUGGGCAAAAAUUAAGGUAUUGUUAUAUUCCAACAAAAUGCUGGACUGAAAAACCGUACUGAGUACUUGCUAGGGUAGAAGUUUAAAUGCAAGUUAAUUUGCUGUUACAGAAGGUUCCUUGGCCUUCCAGAUUCCAGGACAAACUUAAAAAACCCCAGUCAGUAGCUAACGGAUGUAAUUAUUCUGGCUGUCAAUUGCUUUGUGCACUGGGUUUCUGGAGGAGGAGCAGCACAGCAGGUCACCGGGUAUGGGUAGUCACAAGCAAGCAAGAAAGAUCCUUCAACAGUAGGGUCUAGCAGGGCAUGAAUAAGGUAAAGCUGGUUUUGUCUGUUGAGCAGAAAAAUUGGCAAUUAAGGUAGGAUAACUUAAGCAGUCACCACACCGGGUGGAGGAAGAGAGGCUUUUCCUGCAAAUACAGUCCAAGAGGGCAUGUGACUGAUGCAGGGCUGAUGGAGAGGCACAGGAGGACUAACAGAGACCCCUGAUUCAAAUGUUUUCUGGUAAGAAAAUGUGUUUUCCCCUCAACUGUCCCCAGACAAGGAACGUAUUUGCGUCAAACCAAAGGUGUGUAAAAACAGGAUUUCCAACAUGGUCUGUGCCGAAGUGCCCCUUUAGCAGAUGUUGGAGAUAAAGGAGUUCCUCCUUGGAUGCUAUAAAACUAAAAAGCAGGAUUCAGUCCCUUCCAGAGGCCUGGGGAAGCAGAGGGCAACGCUGAACAGCAGCUGGAAUUGCAUGCUUGAAUCCCAUUACAGGGGGGCUACUAAUUGUAAAUCCAGGCAUGCAAAGGAUUAGUUGCUAGCAGGUGUCAAAGAUAAGAAAUUUCUCUCUGAUCCAGGCAGGGGGUAUCUUUGUGUGUUUUCCUGAAUUGUUCUCUUCUUACCAUUGUUCAUGAGAACAUAAAAUGAACCUCUGUUUGAGGAAAUGGGAUAAAUAAUUUUGCUGCUGUUGGAAAAGCUAAAAAAAAAAAAAGAGUGCAAGUCUUCAAAGGGGAGAAAUUGUUAAAUAGGAAAUUACUACAUGAAAAAAUACAGUUGUGGAGGGCAGACAGUUCUUAAAAGCUAGCCUGUAGUUCAACAGCCUGCCUGCAGCAAAGGGUUCAUAAUCUGCCCAGCAAUUUACUUGGGUCCCUUGCUUACUUGCAUUGUACGAAAAUGAGUGAAUUUAGGCAAUUAGCAGAGCCAGUGAUUCCCAGGGCCCUCCUGGUCAUCACCCGCUUGUGGCUGCCCUUUUCAUCCCUGGGCACAGGUCUCAGCCUGGGAGGUCCAUGCACAUUAGCUGGAGCAGGAGGUCCUGUCACCAUUGCUGCCCCUUGCUGUGCCGUGGGAAGAGUGGGAGGCAAUGCAAAUCCUAACUAAAUGCUUUAAUUGGGGAGCUAGUCCCUGUGGAGAGCAAAUGGUGAGCAAAUGGAGAAGGAUGCUCUUCAGAUCCCCCGAGAUCUAGAUUGCCUUUUUUCUGUUGUCUUUGCACAAAGUGCAGGGAGAGCGGUUUCUGUAAGGGAUUGAUACAGGGCAUUUGCUCUGCUUGUAAAGUGAAUGAGCUUGCUUUCAAUGUGGUGCACUAAGAGCAUCCAUGAAGGGAAUUACUGCUGAGAAAUACCACUCUGCAAAUUCAGGCCUUAGUUUACUCUCUGUCCACAUGGACAAAUCCUGAUAAGGUCACUAAUGAGCUAGCCCUAGGCAUGAAGAACCUAAUCGGAUCAGUCUGGUCCUAGUUCGCAGUAUUAAACCCAGCAUCACAACAGGAAUAGCUAAAUUACAGAGGAAAGGUUCAAAAUCCAAUGAUUUGUGAAUUUUUAGGACACGUACAAAAUACAUCAUUUCAAUCAUCAUUUCAGUGUGUGAAAGAAAAGUCAUGGCACCACUGUAAUAAUGGCAAAGCAAAUGGAUCAGUCAGAAAUAAACUAUGUGGUAGGCACCAAAGCUGGCUGAUGGGGCUGUUCUGGUAGCUUCUUUAUGGGUAUUUCCAAUGCAAUAGAUGGUGCUACUAGAUGUGAUUUCUUGAUGUGGGGGAAAGAAGUGUUGGUCCUUGGAGUCAUAAAACAGUGGGGCUUUAGGAGUUUUGCAGUCACCCUCAACAGAAGCUGAGGCUCAAUCAUUAAUUCAUAGAGUCAUAGAAUAGCUAAGGUUGCAAAGGACCUUAAGAUUAUCUAAUUCCAGCCCUCGUGCCAUGGGCAGGGGUGCCUCAUACUGCCAUGUCGGCCAAGGCCCUGUCCAACCUGGCCUUGAACGCUGCCAGGGAUGAGGCAUUUACCACUUCUUUGGGCAACCUGUUCUAGGAGAAAAAAAACAUAAGAGAAAAGCAUUGCCUGUAGCCUUGCAUGACUCUGCAAGCAUAAGGCUGCCAGCCCACACACCCCGUCAAAAAGCCAACGCUUUGUUUUGAAUUAGCACCCAACUUUUUGCCAAAGGAAACAGAAGCAGCAAGCCAGUCAUCCGAGUUUCUGUCUCUGAGCUCCCAACAGGCCACUUCGGCUGAGUACCAAAAGCAAAUGCCUGUAAGGAAGGACAUUUAUUUAGUGCAGAAGAAGCCCACAUGCGCAUCUGCUAAACAGUAAGUCUUGACUAAUCAUCCAAGAAAUGAGAGGUCCCUGUGCUUUUUGCAUGCCUUCUGUUAAAGAAAGACUAUACAUCUUUGAUUGAUCUAGCAAACAGAAACAAUGCUAAAAUAAUGUUUCGUGGCAUUCUCCAGUUUUCCUUUUUUCUGUAAAUAUCGUUGGUGGUGCUUGUGAAAAGUCAUUAGCAAAGACACCAUUGCAUCCCAAGAUAUUAAGGACAGGUUUUAAUUAUUUUUCCUGCACUAAAACAGUUUCUUAAUGGUAUUAAGGAAAUCUUUACAUUUUUAUUUCAUUCUUAAAGUAAUUUAGGACAAAUGAUAGAUAAACAUGAUGGCAUUUUUCUUUACUUGUUUGUUUAUUCUCUAGAAUGAUGCUUAGGGAAGCCACUCCCUUGAACACUGAAGAAGACCUUAAUCUUCUGAAACAGCAGAAAGUUCAUGUUGGUCUUUGCUCUGUCUCUACAUUGUUUUGGACUGUGUCAGUACAUAUCAUUAAGGUAAAAUAGAAGGAAACAUUGUUGACUGAAGUGUAGAGGAAGCUAUAAUGAUUUUGGCAGCUGUCAUUGACGUCAUGCUCAUCGGUUUUCUUCAAGCCUUACCAAGUGAUUCCUCUAAUGGAAAGCUUACUUCCCAAGCAGUGCAAGAGUGAUCUGGUUAGUGUUUCAACAUGCAAAGGCAGCUGAUGGAAGGAUUCUGGAAGGAAAAUGAAAAAUGACAUAAAUGAGCUAGAAUAGCAACUGUGCACUGGCAAGGAGUACAAAGAAAAGUAAGAACUGGAGAUAAUUCUAAAUGUUAAACUUUUUUUCUGAGUUCUAGCUAAAAUACAACUGAAAGAAUCUCAGGAAAUUUCAAGUCCCUAUUUCCACAGGUUUUCUGAAUCUUUGAGCCUUUUUUUCCUUAUCUAAUAUCCCAGACCUUAUUUUCAAGGUACAUGAACACCAAGAGGUUCUGAUUAGAAAAAUCACUGUUCCCUCAUCCAAACUCUUGCACGUCUGUCAGAUCAGAAAAUUCUGCCCUGUAUCCUCUGGCAAGGGAUGCUGAGAUGGGUGCAGUGGGCUCUCAGAGGGAGAGGGAGGCAAUGUGCAGGUACCAGGUCUUAAGUCCCCAGCAAUACCGAAGUAGGAUUGGAUGGAGGCUGUGCUUGGUGGGUUGGGAAAUGGAGACUCCUGUCAUGGAGAAGGCUGCAGGCUUCUGGCUUCAGGCACUGGGAGGAAAGCAGCUGUUCCACCUGCAGAUUUGCAGCUCAGGGAUUGAGUCAGUGCCCUGACAGCGAUGAGCAGCUGAGCUGGCAGAGCCCAAGCACUGCAGAAGCACUGGGAAGGCGGGGGUCAGCCAACACACCAACAUGGGCACCGCUGGAGGGAGCAAGGCAGAGAGCAGUGCAUGGAAAGGUACAUAAAAGUGCAAUUCUACGUGUAUUAAACCCCUGCAUUUUAAAGCAGCAGAGUGAUGUUUUCCUUUUCAUAAUUAUUUCAAUUCCAGUUAUAUAGAUU